RNAcentral lists this ribosomal RNA (274 nucleotides) under uncultured bacterium. RNAcentral's name for it is "partial 16S ribosomal RNA". It matches the Rfam family "Bacterial small subunit ribosomal RNA", at positions 523 to 796 of the family's 1533-position model. The record is from RNAcentral.
AUACGGAGGGUUCAAGCGUUACUCGGAAUCACUGGGCGUAAAGCGCGCGCAGGCGGGCUGAUAAGUUGGAUGUGAAAGCCUACGGCUCAACCGUAGAACUGCAUCCAAAACUGUCAGUCUAGAGUCUGGGAGGGGAAGAUGGAAUUAGUUGUGUAGGGGUAAAAUCCGUAGAGAUAACUAGGAAUACCAAAAGCGAAGGCGAUCUUCUGGAACAGUACUGACGCUGAGGCGCGAAAGCGUGGGGAGCAAACAGGAUUAGAAACCCUAGUAGUCC